UACAGAGGAUGCAAGCGUUAUCCGGAAUUAUUGGGCGUAAAGCGUCUGUAGGUGGCUUUUUAAGUCCGCCGUCAAAUCCCAGGGCUCAACUCUGGACAGGCGGUGGAAACUACCAAGCUGGAGUACGGUAGGGGCAGAGGGAAUUUCCGGUGGAGCGGUGAAAUGCGUAGAGAUCGGGAAGAACACCAGCGGCGAAAGCACUCUGCUGGGCCGACACUGACACUGAGAGACGAAAGCUAGGGGAGCGAAUGGG
This 253-nucleotide ribosomal RNA is filed under the name uncultured bacterium. RNAcentral's name for it is "partial 16S ribosomal RNA". It matches the Rfam family "Bacterial small subunit ribosomal RNA", at positions 524 to 776 of the family's 1533-position model. The record is from RNAcentral.